AAAUUGAAGAGUUUGAUCAUGGCUCAGAUUGAACGCUGGCGGCAGGCCUAACACAUGCAAGUCGAACGGUAACAGGAAGCAGCUUGCUGCUUUGCUGACGAGUGGCGGACGGGUGAGUAAUGUCUGGGAAACUGCCUGAUGGAGGGGGAUAACUACUGGAAACGGUGGCUAAUACCGCAUAACGUCGCAAGACCAAAGAGGGGGACCUUCGGGCCUCUUGCCAUCAGAUGUGCCCAGAUGGGAUUAGCUAGUUGGUGAGGUAACGGCUCACCAAGGCGACGAUCCCUAGCUGGUCUGAGAGGAUGACCAGCCACACUGGAACUGAGACACGGUCCAGACUCCUACGGGAGGCAGCAGUGGGGAAUAUUGCACAAUGGGCGCAAGCCUGAUGCAGCCAUGCCGCGUGUAUGAAGAAGGCCUUCGGGUUGUAAAGUA
Molecule: ribosomal RNA, 435 nt
Filed under: Salmonella enterica
Lineage: Bacteria; Pseudomonadati; Pseudomonadota; Gammaproteobacteria; Enterobacterales; Enterobacteriaceae
Description: bacterial SSU rRNA
Rfam family: Bacterial small subunit ribosomal RNA
Source: RNAcentral